ACAGCAGCCGCCACGGUAAUACGUAGGUGGCAAGCGUUGUCCGGAAUUAUUGGUCGUAAAGGGCUCGCAGGCGGUUUCUUAAGUCUGAUGUGAAAGCCCCCGGCUCAACCGGGGAGGGUCAUUGGAAACUGGGAAACUUGAGUGCAGAAGAGGAGAGUGGAAUUCCACGUGUAGCGGUGAAAUGCGUAGAGAUGUGGAGGAACACCAGUGGCGAAGGCGACUCUCUGGUCUGUAACUGACGCUGAGGAGCGAAAGCGUGGGGAGCGAACAGGAUUAGAUACCCCCGUAGUCCCUGUCUCUUAUAA
Molecule: ribosomal RNA, 305 nt
Filed under: uncultured bacterium
Lineage: Bacteria
Description: partial 16S ribosomal RNA
Rfam family: Bacterial small subunit ribosomal RNA
Source: RNAcentral